GCAAAUGUCAAAACUACCGUGGCGGCAGGACUCGCCGCCGUGAGUGGUGGCGGCACGCUGGGCAGCGCAACGUACCUGGUGACCGGAGCACUCCACGGACGAGGGAGGUCCCGAGAGGACCCGCUUGCGCCGGCGGCCAUGCUCGUGUCUGGAUCUGCGCUGGCGGCACCCUCCAUCCGACUCCCCUGCCCCCAGAUGCUCGCCGGCGCCUCCCUUAUGUAGCGGCUGCUCCCCGUGCUCACGCGUCAGCCUCAAGGUGCCGAUGCUGCGCCGUCCGGGACGUCCGCGUGCGCUGCCCUGGAGCCGUUCCCUUGCGACGUCGGGGCCGCCGCGGAGAAGGCGCCGGUGGUGGAGCCCAUGUCGUCGGUUGAGUCGAGCCAGGGAGGGAGACCACGUCGGCGACCAUGCCAGCAGGGGGAGGGCCCUUCCUCUGUUUCGAAAACGAACAAGGACUGCCCCUAGCUCGGUGACAGAGCCCCUCCUGGUGGUCACCUGCCCGGCUUGCUGCUGCAGCUUCGAGAAGAAGGACCUAGAGCUGGCUCUAGGUGUUCCGCGCGGCGGCCGAUUUGCUCCUGCUCUCCUCCGGUGGCAACCGGGGACAGGAUGUUGCUGAUUGAGCCACUGCUGAGAGCAUCGACAUGAAUGCCAGGAUGGGGAUGAAGAGCGGCAACAGGGAGCUCACGGUGCUUCUCCAAAACACCAAGCUUUAGGUAAAGAGAGAAACAAAGAAGAUGAAGAAGAUAGAGGAAGGAGCAAGACACCACGCGUUCUGAAGAUUCCAUAUCAUGCAUAUGCAUAUUUGUAGAUGCCUGGUAGACUUAUCCUGGUAUUUAUUUGGAUAUUAGAGAUGAUGUGCAAGACUUUCAAGUUAUUUGACUUCUAAACCUCGAUGACAUGCCCUUUUAUUUCAACUGUAUGUCCACAUGUUAGUAAAUAUUGCAUUUCUGUAUGUCCAUAUUCCUAAGUGUGCUCUUAAUUUGAUCAACGUGAAUCGCUGAGCUGAGCAUCUUAGUAUGUCCAUAUCCACAGUUAGUAAAUAGUGCAUUUCUGUAUGUCCAUGUCCGCAUGUUAAUAAACAAUUGCAGCUGUUGGAAUGAGCUGAACAUAGAUAAAAGUGUUCACUUUGAAAUGGUGAUCACUGUUCUAGGAUAAUAGGUUGGUAAUUAACUGAAUUUUUUUGUAAUGCAAUUUUGUAUCCGGAGGGCGUCCCUCGGCACAGCUGGCGGCCUGGACACCGUGUGGCAAGAAAACCCAAAGAAAGUAGCCUCAGAAAUGGAAACUCCUGAGCGCGGACUGGCAUCACUCACAGUGGAGGACCGUCACUACACAACAAGCAAGUUUGUUAGGAGGGUAAAUCUUGAGAUUGGACAUGAUGUGCUAAUCAAGUUCCACUCAAAGGCAGAUCAACGCUGGGAGUCCAUUGUCUUUGAUGUCCUGCACAAUCACUGAUGUUUCAUCCUGUAUCUAUGUAAUGCAAACAGAGUUUUGGUCUUGAAUACACAUUUGUAUUAUUUUGCGAUAUGCUAUCAAGGACAAUUCUUCUUUUUUUAUGACUUUUACUCUCCUGGGCUGUAAGCUUUUGAAUAAUGUAAGCAGUGUUGGCCGACUUGAAUCCGGGAUCCCCUAUAUCCCAGCAGUAUAUGCAUUUGCUUUUUCUUCA
Long non-coding RNA from Lolium perenne, 1660 nucleotides. RefSeq lists it as uncharacterized. Lineage: Eukaryota; Viridiplantae; Streptophyta; Magnoliopsida; Poales; Poaceae. The record is from RefSeq and is a predicted model, not a curated record.